UGGGGAAUAUUGCACAAUGGGCGAAAGCCUGAUGCAGCAACGCCGCGUGAGUGAUGAAGGCCUUCGGGUUGUAAAGCUCUGUCUUUUGGGACGAUAAUGACGGUACCAAAGGAGGAAGCCACGGCUAACUACGUGCCAGCAGCCGCGGUAAUACGUAGGUGGCAAGCGUUGUCCGGAUUUACUGGGCGUAAAGGAUGCGUAGGCGGAUUUUUAAGUGAGAUGUGAAAUACCCGGGCUUAACUUGGGUGCUGCAUUUCAAACUGGGAAUCUAGAGUGCGGGAGAGGAGAAUGGAAUUCCUAGUGUAGCGGUGAAAUGCGUAGAGAUUAGGAAGAACACCAGUGGCGAAGGCGAUUCUCUGGACCGUAACUGACGCUGAGGCAUGAAAGCGUGGGUAGCAAACAGGAUUAGAUACCCUGGUAGUCCACGCCGUAAACGAUGAGUACUAGGUGUAGGAGGUAUCGACCCCUUCUGUGCCGCAGUUAACACAAUAGGUACUCCGCCUGGGAAGUACGAUCGCAAGAUUAAAACUUAAAUGAAUUGACGGGGUCAUAGCUG
RNAcentral lists this ribosomal RNA (556 nucleotides) under uncultured bacterium. Its description in RNAcentral is "partial 16S ribosomal RNA". It matches the Rfam family "Bacterial small subunit ribosomal RNA", at positions 355 to 932 of the family's 1533-position model. The record is from RNAcentral.